AACGAACGCUGGCGGCAUGCCUAACACAUGCAAGUCGAACGAGACCUUCGGGUCUAGUGGCGCACGGGUGCGUAACGCGUGGGAACCUGCCCUUAGGUUCGGAAUAACUCCCCGAAAGGGGUGCUAAUACCGGAUAAUGUCUUCGGACCAAAGAUUUAUCGCCUUUGGUUGGGCCCGCGUUGGAUUAGCUAGUUGGUAGGGUAAAAGCCUACCAAGGCGACGAUCCAUAGCUGGUCUGAGAGGAUGAUCAGCCACACUGGGACUGAGACACGGCCCAGACUCCUACGGGAGGCAGCAGUGGGGAAUAUUGGACAAUGGGCGAAAGCCUGAUCCAGCAAGGCCGCGUGAGUGAUGAAGGCCUUAGGGUUGUAAAGCUCUUUUACCCGGGAUGAUAAUGACGGUACCGGGAGAAUAAGCUCCGGCUAACUCCGUG
RNAcentral lists this ribosomal RNA (433 nucleotides) under uncultured bacterium. RNAcentral describes it as "partial 16S ribosomal RNA". It matches the Rfam family "Bacterial small subunit ribosomal RNA", at positions 29 to 507 of the family's 1533-position model. The record is from RNAcentral.